AUAUAUAUAGUAUAAAAACAAUAUUACAUUUAACUUCCAAUUAAAAAAUUUUAAUAAAUAUAUAUA
This 66-nucleotide transfer RNA is filed under the name Andrena chekiangensis. Its description in RNAcentral is "tRNA-Gly". Lineage: Eukaryota; Metazoa; Arthropoda; Insecta; Hymenoptera; Andrenidae. The record is from RNAcentral.